GAUGAACGCUGGCGGCGUGCCUAAUACAUGCAAGUCGAGCGAACGGACGAGAAGCUUGCUUCUCUGAUGUUAGCGGCGGACGGGUGAGUAACACGUGGAUAACCUACCUAUAAGACUGGGAUAACUUCGGGAAACCGGAACUAAUACCGGAUGAUAUUUUGAACCGCAUGGUUCAAAAGUGAAAGACGGUCUUGCUGUCACUUAUAGAUGGAUCCGCGCUGCAUUAGCUAGUUGGUAAGGUAACGGCUUACCAAGGCAACGAUGCAUAGCCGACCUGAGAGGGUGAUCGGCCACACUGGAACUGAGACACGGUCCAGACUCCUACGGGAGGCAGCAGUAGGGAUUCUUCCGCAAUGGGCGAAAGCCUGACGGAGCAACGCCGCGUGAGUGAUGAAGGUCUUCGGAUCGUAAAACUCUGUUAUUAGGGAAGAACAUAUGUGUAAGUAACUGUGCACAUCUUGACGGUACCUAAUCAGAAAGCCACGGCUAACUACGUG
Molecule: ribosomal RNA, 497 nt
Filed under: uncultured bacterium
Lineage: Bacteria
Description: partial 16S ribosomal RNA
Rfam family: Bacterial small subunit ribosomal RNA
Source: RNAcentral